This 399-nucleotide ribosomal RNA is filed under the name uncultured bacterium. RNAcentral's name for it is "bacterial SSU rRNA". It matches the Rfam family "Bacterial small subunit ribosomal RNA", at positions 974 to 1375 of the family's 1533-position model. The record is from RNAcentral.
CCAGGUUAGAAGUGCAGGGGAAGUUAGCAGAGAUGUUAACGUCCGAAAGGACCGCUGCAUAGGUGCUGCAUGGUUGUCGUCAGCUCGUGCCGUGAGGUGUUGGGUUAAGUCCCGCAACGAGCGCAACCCUUGUCCCUAGUUGCCAUCAUUUAGUUGGGAACUCUAGGGAGACCGCCGGUGACAAACCGGAGGAAGGUGGGGAUGACGUCAAGUCAUCAUGGCCCUUAUGACCAGGGCUACACACGUGCUACAAUGGCUGGUACAAAGGGCUGCCAACCCGCGAGGGGGAGCCAAUCCCAGAAAGCCAGUCGUAGUCCGGAUCGGAGUCUGCAACUCGACUCCGUGAAGUCGGAAUCGCUAGUAAUCGCAAAUCAGCAACGUCGCGGUGAAUACGUUCCC